RNAcentral lists this ribosomal RNA (468 nucleotides) under uncultured bacterium. RNAcentral's name for it is "partial 16S ribosomal RNA". It matches the Rfam family "Bacterial small subunit ribosomal RNA", at positions 28 to 507 of the family's 1533-position model. The record is from RNAcentral.
GACGAACGCUGGCGGCGUGCUUAACACAUGCAAGUCGAACGGAAAGGCCCAGCUUUCGUGGGGCGCUCGAGUGGCGCACGGGUGAAACACACGUGUGUAACCUCCUCUUGACUUUGGGAAGACUGCAGAAAACGGGGGAAUAUAGGGGAUAAGAGCACCUCGCGCAGGGUGGGGGGUGGAGAGUUUCGGCGGCUGGGGAUGGACUCGCGGCUUAUCAGCUUGUUGGUGGGGUAGUGGCUUACCAAGGCUUUGACGGGUAGCCGGCCUGAGAGGGUGACCGGCCACAUUGGGACUGAGAUACGGCCCAGACUCCUACGGGAGGCAGCAGUGGGGAAUAUUGCACAAUGGGCGGAAGCCUGAUGCAGCAACGCCGCGUGCGGGAUGACGGCCUUCGGGUUGUAAACCGCUUUCGCCUGUGACGAAGCGUGAGUGACGGUAAUUGGUGAAGAAGCACCGGCUAACUACGUG